RNAcentral lists this ribosomal RNA (517 nucleotides) under uncultured Bacillota bacterium. RNAcentral describes it as "SSU rRNA". It matches the Rfam family "Bacterial small subunit ribosomal RNA", at positions 8 to 527 of the family's 1533-position model. Lineage: Bacteria; Bacillati; Bacillota. The record is from RNAcentral.
AGGGUUUGAUCAUGGCUCAGGAUGAACGCUGGCGGCGUGCCUAACACAUGCAAGUCGAACGAGAUGCGUAUCGGAAAGCUUCGGCCGGAAGAUACGUUAUCUAGUGGCGGACGGGUGAGUAACACGUGGGUAACCUGCCUUAUGGAGGGGGAUAACAGAGAGAAAUCACUGCUAAUACCGCAUAAGCACACAGUACCGCAUGGUACAGGGUGAAAAGAUUUAUCGCCAUAAGAUGGACCCGCGUCUGAUUAGCCAGUUGGCAGGGUAAAAGCCUACCAAAGCAACGAUCAGUAGCCGAUCUGAGAGGAUGACCGGCCACAUUGGGACUGAGACACGGCCCAAACUCCUACGGGAGGCAGCAGUGGGGAAUAUUGCACAAUGGGGGAAACCCUGAUGCAGCGACGCCGCGUGAGUGAAGAAGUAUUUCGGUAUGUAAAACUCUAUCAGCAGGGAAGAUAAUGACAGUACCUGACUAAGAAGCCCCGGCUAACUACGUGCCAGCAGCCGCGGUAAUACG